Molecule: transfer RNA, 72 nt
Filed under: Camelus bactrianus (Bactrian camel)
Lineage: Eukaryota; Metazoa; Chordata; Mammalia; Artiodactyla; Camelidae
Also listed under: 2 other names
Rfam family: tRNA
About the family: Transfer RNA (tRNA) molecules are approximately 80 nucleotides in length. Their secondary structure includes four short double-helical elements and three loops (D, anti-codon, and T loops). Further hydrogen bonds mediate the characteristic L-shaped molecular structure. tRNAs have two regions of fundamental functional importance: the anti-codon, which is responsible for specific mRNA codon recognition, and the 3' end, to which the tRNAs corresponding amino acid is attached (by aminoacyl-tRNA synthetases). tRNAs cope with the degeneracy of the genetic code in two manners: having more than one tRNA (with a specific anti-codon) for a particular amino acid; and 'wobble' base-pairing, i.e. permitting non-standard base-pairing at the 3rd anti-codon position.
Source: Rfam by way of RNAcentral
GAAGGUAUAGAUCAAUGGUAGAGUGUAUCUUUAGCAUGAGCGAGAUCCUGGGUUCAAUCCCCAGUACCUCCA